GCACAAGCAGCGGAGCGUGUGGUUUAAUUCGAUGCAACGCGAAGAACCUUACCUACCCUUGACAUGUCCGGAACUUGCCAGAGAUGGCUUGGUGCCCGAAAGGGAAUCGGAACACAGGUGCUGCAUGGCUGUCGUCAGCUCGUGUCGUGAGAUGUUGGGUUAAGUCCCGCAACGAGCGCAACCCUUAUCAUUAGUUGCUACGCAAGGGCACUCUAAUGAGACUGCCGGUGACAAACCGGAGGAAGGUGGGGAUGACGUCAAGUCCUCAUGGCCCUUAUGGGUAGGGCUUCACACGUCAUACAAUGGUCGGUACAGAGGGUUGCCAAGCCGCGAGGCGGAGCCAAUCCCACAAAGCCGAUCGUAGUCCGGAUUGUUCUCUGCAACUCGAGAGCAUGAAGUCGGAAUCGCUAGUAAUCGCAGGUCAGCGUACUGCGGUGAAUACGUUCCCGGGUCUU
RNAcentral lists this ribosomal RNA (455 nucleotides) under uncultured Thiobacillus sp. Its description in RNAcentral is "bacterial SSU rRNA". It matches the Rfam family "Bacterial small subunit ribosomal RNA", at positions 923 to 1382 of the family's 1533-position model. Lineage: Bacteria; Pseudomonadati; Pseudomonadota; Betaproteobacteria; Nitrosomonadales; Thiobacillaceae. The record is from RNAcentral.